Molecule: non-coding RNA, 1775 nt
Organism: Cajanus cajan (pigeon pea)
Lineage: Eukaryota; Viridiplantae; Streptophyta; Magnoliopsida; Fabales; Fabaceae
Source: RefSeq, a predicted model, not a curated record
CCUUUGAAUUCCUAGUACUGGUUCAGAUAAAGAAAACGGAAAAAGAACAGAGAGGAACGAGCAUCGUAGGUGGAAGAAGAAGAAGAUAUGAGAGGGGUGUUUCUACCAUGGAAUCCACCACGCUUCUUCCACACACACUCUCUUCCUUCCCACUCCUUCUGUCUCCACCCAAACAGGCCCUUCUUCACCCUCUCGGCUUCGGCCUCCGUGGAGUCCCCGGAGCAGCUGAGCGCGCGAGAGAGAAGGCGAGCGAGGGGCGAGAGAAGAGAGAGAAAGAGCGGCACGAACUGGAGGGAGGAGGUGGAAGAGAGGCUCAUGGUGAAGCCCAAGAAGCAGAAGGGUUCGUGGAUGGAUGAACUCAACCUCGACAACCUCGCCAAGUUGGGUCCCCAAUGGUGGGUCAUUCGGGUUUCGCGAGUCAUGGGUCACGACACUGCGCAACUCCUCGCUCGCUCGCUCGCUAAGAACUACCCCGACAUCGAGUUUAAGAUAUAUGCUCCAUCUGUCAAUGUGAAAAGGAGAUUGAAGAACGGUUCCUACUCUGUUAAACCAAAGCCACUGUUCCCAGGUUGUGUUUUCUUUAGAUGUGUGAUGAACAAAGAACUACAUGACUUCGUAAGAGAGUAUGAUGGUAUUGGAGGCUUUCUUGGUUCCAAGGUUGGAAACACAAAGAGACAGAUCAAUAGACCGAAGCCGGUAUCUGGGAAAGAUAUGGAAGCAAUCUUCAAACGUGCCAAAGAAGAACAAGAGAAAACUGACCAAGCUUUUGAGGAAGAAGAGAAAAAUGCUGCCCUAAACUCUGAGAUUAAAAAUACAGAAUUAGAACUCGAUGAUGUUGUAAAUGAUAUUGUUGAUUCUAAGCCUAAAAGGGGAUCUAGAAAAACUUCUAAUCAGGUCACAGUUACAGAUGCAUCAUCUACUAGGAAAGAUUAUAAACUCUUUGUUCCAGGUUCCACUGUUCGAGUUGUAUCUGGAACAUUUUCAGGGUUUACAGGCACCCUCAAGAAGCUGAACCGAAAAACCAAAAUGGCCACUGUCCAUUUCACUCUAUUUGGGAAAGAGAACAUAGCAGACAUAGACGUUAAUGAAAUUGCUCUAGAGACAAACUGAUGCCUGUAGAUUUUCUCCACUGAUGGUAUGCUUCACUUGUUCGGCGGUAAUCAUACAGCAUUAGUACCUACAUAACUUUAGUGGUAUUAAAAAAAAUGCUUUCAAGAGUUGCAUUUGUGGAUGAAAAAUAAAUGCAUUCUUAUAUCUUACCAAGAGCUUACUUGUGUAUUAUGAAUCAUGCAAAGUUAAGGAAUUUACUGUUAGUAAGCCUAGCAGGACAGGUGGAAGCUUUUUGCUGAUGCAUCAUUCCCAAAAUUGAAAUCUGAGAUGUAUGCACCGAAGGCCUAAAAUCUGAGGGAUAAGGAGUAACAUCUUCGGUGGUGACCUCAUCAAGAACAUCAUCAAGAUCAAGAUAUUUCGUAGAAAACCUCUCUAAGAUCAAAUUGAAACCUUGAAGGCACCUCAAGAAAGUGAAUAGCUUGUCGAACGACAUGCUUGAAGCCUUUUGCAUGCUCAUUAUAUAUUUGGUAACCGGCAUUGGCCUUAUAAGCAGUGAAGUUAGCAAGAAUUUAUCUUUUUCAGCAUUCACAAAAUCAAACUCUCCUUUUAAAACCUUAAGCUCUUCAACCAACUUAGUCUUAACCGCAUUUGCUUCUUUAAGCUCCUCCUUCAGGCUAUCAACCAAAUCUUGAAGCCGUUUUCAAUGAACUUCAAUCUUCUCAUUA